This 773-nucleotide unclassified non-coding RNA is filed under the name Hevea brasiliensis (rubber tree). The record is from RNAcentral. Lineage: Eukaryota; Viridiplantae; Streptophyta; Magnoliopsida; Malpighiales; Euphorbiaceae.
GAGAGAGAGAGAGAGAUAAACUUUGCAUUAAUUAAUCUUGAGCAUGUAAAUUACAACUCAGUUUUCUUAUUUAUCAAUUUAGAGUGACUACUACUAAUCAGCUAACUAAACUAAUGUAACUAACAGCUCUAGAUUCUUAUCCUUAGCUUAUUGAUUAUGGUCCACAGGCAUAAAAGCACCCUCCUCUUUGAGUUAUUGAAGGGUGCUACAUCAAAGUCAAUCUGCAGCCUUUAUGCCCAUGUAAGCUGCCUAUCCAAUUCUAUCUCAGACAAGUAGUCCCAUAAGCUACCAUUUUCAACAAACUUGAACACAAGACAAGGCUUUCUUCCAUGGCACCAACCCUCAAGAUGAUUGAUCUUUGCCAAUGUGUAAAUGAAGUUCCAAACAUCUGCCUAACGAUCCACACAUUCAAUUGCUACAUCCAUGUACCAAGUGUAAAAAAACACUUGAGCCGAGAAUUAAAUAUGAAUUCCAUGUAUUUGAUUUUGUACCAACAGCCAACAGCAUGAUUUUCUUCAAAUGAAUCAUUGCUUUUAGACCAUAUGAGUUUUUAGAAGCAGAACUAUAAUCCAAUUCAAAUACUUCAAAAAACUGCCGGAAAAUUCUCUACAAGGACAUUCUCAAAAACAUGUGUUGUGCACCACACUUCUAUUAACAAAAUUGCAUUUUCAUUCUGUUUUCUCCACAUCUUGAAUCUAUUUUCCUUGAGGAAAGUAUUACCUCUUGGUUUUAAUAAAAGAUCAUGGCACUCAUAAUAUAGAACUGUCUUACAA